AACCUUGCGUAGUGGCAAUAUCGUAAUCAAUGAAGUUUUACAGAGAUGCGAUUAUUACUAGUUGAAACUAUAAUUGUUAGCAGUAAAUUAGUAUUCUUGGCAUCCGGGUCAUUAAAUCUGGCAUUUAAAUAAUUCUA
Small nuclear RNA from Cimex lectularius (bed bug), 137 nucleotides. RefSeq annotates it as U4 spliceosomal RNA. The transcript has a single exon. The record is from RefSeq and is a predicted model, not a curated record. NCBI's taxonomy places the organism in Eukaryota, Metazoa, Arthropoda, Insecta, Hemiptera, Cimicidae.